CUUCCGCGGACGCCAUGUUGGUACCGGUGCUCCCGCACUUCCACUUGCCACGCGAGCUGUGAGAACUGUGGUGGUCUUUUUCGUGAAGCUCCUUGACGAGGGAUCGGUUUACCUUACCAAGCAUGUACAGGCGCAUACCUCACAGUUAUCAUUUUGUCGGGGAACGAAGCUUGAAGGCGGAGGGUUGUUGUCAUGGUUACAGAGCACACACUAGUGGGUACUGCUGAUAAGAGGAUCAGGUGAGAUAUCGUUCUAAUAAGGCAACAAUCCAACGAGCAUUAUUGUCCCAGAUGCAAUAGCGUAAUCAAGACUUAUAAUAGAUAAAGAUAUUGUUUUUAAACUAAUAGUUACAUUUUAAAGUUAUUUUUAGUUAACAUCUUCUAGAUUUAAAUGUAACGUAAAAUUUAUUUUGUGUUAUUUAAUAAAGUCUCAUAAAUCCAAAAGAACAUUUUCUUAGAGAUGAAGAUAAACAUUCACCAAGAUUAUACACGUUUAUAGUAGCUGUAUUUAAUUGAAAAUAAAAAUUUUAUUUUAGAAAAUUAAACAUUAAACGAUUUUAUAACUUAAGUAAUAAUUAGCUAUUCUAAAACUUUUAUGAAUCAUUAUAUCGACUACGCCAUUGCAAACAAGAGAGGACAUGUGUGGCUACGAAGAUUAGUCGAGACAUUGCAUUAUCACCAAAAAUACACAAGGAUGAACUUUCGGCCGUUCACUGACUCCUUGCCACUCAUCAAAACCGGAUGUUUUUGUAAAUAUUAUAGAGAAGUUCUUGUUAAACGCAUUUGUAACUUAAAUUUCAAUAAUUCGACAAAUAUAUUAUUUUUUUAAAUAACAUAAAAAUGUAAUUCUAAUAAAAAAAAAUAUAGAUAGCAUAUUUUAUGUUACGCAAUUAUAUGUAGGUAAUAAUGCAUUGAAUUAAUUUUCUGCAAUUCAUUAUAAAACGUAUUUUUUGUUAUUAAUAAUUACAUUAUAAUUUCUAAUUAUCUAAUUUCACUAAUAAAAAUCAACAAAGUUUAUACACAUAAAUCAUUUUCAAAACAAACUUACCUUAAAAACCUUAGAUUUAAGCUAUAUAAUUGUAUCAUAAUUAUAAAUCAUUAGAACGAAGCUUUUUAGCGCUUCGUUUAAAAUAUUCUAUUUUAUUUAGAAAUAAACUAAACUAUCUGAUAUACACAAUACACUAUUCCAAUAUACAGUACUUUAAAAUAUAUUAUACAAAAUAUGUUGACGCAAACUACUAAUAAAAUUGCGUUACGGAAGGAAAGAAAAUAUAUGUUAUAACUGUCGCAUAUAUUUAUUCGCAUAGCCGUCAGAUAUGUUUCUAGAAUAUUCAUCGUAGUUGCUAUAUGUUCCUUAUUUUAUUGUAUUAUGUUACACUAUCAUUAGCUUUAUUUCUUUCUUUAGCUUUAUUUAUUCCUUAGCUUUAUUCUACCGCUAUCGCGCGAUAUGUCUUCCCAGACAGCAUGCAUGUCUAAAAGAUGUCAAAAAAAUAUUUUAAAGUCUUUUAGGCCAUAUAUGCUAUUUGGGUUAUGUUACAUCGAGGACAUCAACCAGAUAAAAAAAAAUAUCCUUCAGAUUACUGAAAGAUGGCUUGCACUUUUUCGAAAAGUUUCGAAAAGUAAUCUUUUAGUGAUAAAAGAUAUUUUACAUAUGCAAAGUUUUGAAAUAUUUAUGGAGAUGUCUUGAAGAUAUCUUUUUAAAAUCUAAAAAAUUUAUAUGACAAAUAUCAUAAAAAUAUCUUUUAAGCUGUCUUCAACUUGGGUCUUUUUAAAUAUUUUCCUGAAGUAUCUUCUGAAUAUAUCUUUAAUAAGACAUCCUUUAAAUAUUCAUAUGAUCUGAAUAUUCUCUGGAUAUAUAUCCGUUCGAUUAGAAUAUCCUUGUGUUUUAUGUAUAAUUUCAUAGAAUAUAAAGAUACUUAUACGUAAUCUUACAUAAGAAAAUUCCCAUAUACAUACAUAUAUGUACAAUUACAACAAUAUCAUUCGUAAUUUGGUAUCAUCUUAGAUGUCGAUACAAGAUUUGUCGAUAAAAUCUUCUUUGG
Molecule: long non-coding RNA, 2041 nt
Organism: Monomorium pharaonis (pharaoh ant)
Lineage: Eukaryota; Metazoa; Arthropoda; Insecta; Hymenoptera; Formicidae
Exons: 2
Source: RefSeq, a predicted model, not a curated record